Mauremys reevesii (Reeves's turtle) is the source of this 609-nucleotide long non-coding RNA. RefSeq lists it as uncharacterized. The record is from RefSeq and is a predicted model, not a curated record. The transcript has 4 exons. Lineage: Eukaryota; Metazoa; Chordata; Testudines; Geoemydidae.
CAGCUUCCCCGAGGGAAAGGUGGAAAAGCCGAAGGGCCUCAGGGAAAACUUCCCAAUUGAGUUUUUCCAGGAUUUGUAAGAGGCAGUUUUUCACUUGGGUGGUGACGGCGUUUACCAAGCCAAGUAAAGUUACAAACCCGCUGACCCAGUGAGGUAGGUAGAGAUGAUACAGCAUCCCUUGCAACAGGCUCCUAAGUGUUAUUCAUCCUCCUCAUUGCCACCAGUGGUCAUCAUCCUGGCAUCUCCAAGAGUUACGUCUUCCAAGGCACAUGAGCCAGGCUACAACUUUAACAACAUGUCAUGCUGAUGCCACUACAUAUUUGCUAAUUUUUAGUUUACUAAAGAAACUGGCUACAGCGUGUCUUUGGCGUGAGAUCCAGAAGCAUCCAGUGACCUGAGGUCAAGCCCGGAGUGCAGUAAUGAGAAACUACCUCUGCCACUAGACCCCUUACUUGUGGAGCCCUAUAAGUAUUAAUUCUCUAUUGGGUCCUAUACAACAUCUACAUGCAGCCACCCAGUGAACUGGUAUGAUGAUAUGGACUCAAGUCCCAGCAAUAUGCAGAUGAUACAUUGUUCUUCUUACCAUUCACCACAUACAGCUAUGCCACU